This 207-nucleotide ribosomal RNA is filed under the name uncultured bacterium. Its description in RNAcentral is "partial 16S ribosomal RNA". It matches the Rfam family "Bacterial small subunit ribosomal RNA", at positions 568 to 774 of the family's 1533-position model. The record is from RNAcentral.
CGCGUAGGCGGUUUGGUCAGUUGGAUGUGAAAGCCCCGGGCUUAACCUGGGAACUGCAUUCAAUACUGCCAGGCUAGAGUACGGUAGAGGGGGGUAGAAUUCCACGUGUAGCGGUGAAAUGCGUAGAGAUGUGGAGGAAUACCAGUGGCGAAGGCGGCCCCCUGGACUGAUACUGACGCUGAGGUGCGAAAGCGUGGGGAGCAAACA